ACUGCAACACUGAGAAAUAAACAUAUUUGGCUGAAAAUGGCUGAAAGGAUGACCCAGAAGAACCUGUGCUCACAGCUGUCACUGGAGAGCAAAUAGCAGGAGAAGUUUGGCAGAAAUUGAGAUCAAACAAGCUCCAAGAUAAACAAGCUCUGUAAAAUACUGAAGUACCACAAAGCUUCCUCACAUUGCACUUGAGAUAAUUUCCAACAAGCCACAGCAGGUCUAAUCUGACCCUUUCCCGUACUCUUCCAUGGACUGAAUGACCACCCUGGAUUACAAACAACCUCCAAACCUGUUGAAGUUUCUCAGCAUGGAGCAGAAGCCGAUUGAGGAUAAGAAAGCUCAACUGCAUUCCAAUGAAAUCAAAGGAUUAUGAACUCCAUGAGUCUCUGUAAGGAGCUGCAUCUUGUCCACAAAAUUCUGCACAGAGGAAUGUUACAGGUAUGCUUCUCUGAGAGAGGAGAUGACCAU
Molecule: long non-coding RNA, 471 nt
Organism: Anas platyrhynchos (mallard)
Lineage: Eukaryota; Metazoa; Chordata; Aves; Anseriformes; Anatidae
Source: RefSeq, a predicted model, not a curated record